RNAcentral lists this ribosomal RNA (467 nucleotides) under uncultured bacterium. Its description in RNAcentral is "partial 16S ribosomal RNA". It matches the Rfam family "Bacterial small subunit ribosomal RNA", at positions 28 to 507 of the family's 1533-position model. The record is from RNAcentral.
GACGAACGCUGGCGGCGUGCUUAACACAUGCAAGUCGAACGAUGACGACCGAGCUUGCUCGGUCUGAUUAGUGGCGAACGGGUGAGUAACACGUGAGCAACCUGCCCUUCACUCUGGGAUAACCUCGGGAAAUCGGGGCUAAUACCGGAUAUGAGCUCCUGUCGCAUGGCGGGUGUUGGAAAGUUUUUCGGUGAAGGAUGGGCUCGCGGCCUAUCAGUUUGUUGGUGAGGUAGUGGCUCACCAAGGCGAUGACGGGUAGCCGGCCUGAGGGGGCGACCGGCCACACUGGGACUGAGACACGGCCCAGACUCCUACGGGAGGCAGCAGAGGGGAAUAUUGCACAAUGGGCGAAAGCCUGAUGCAGCGACGCCGCGUGAGGGAUGACGGCCUUCGGGUUGUAAACCUCUUUCAGCAGGGAAGAAGCGAAAGUGACGGUACCUGCAGAAGAAGCGCCGGCUAACUACGUG